GCUUGGAGAGGGUAUGGAGGCCCUCAGGACCAGCUGUGUCGCUCAGUCUAACCUUUCCUUGGACUUAAUGUCCUCUGCUUCCACUGGUUAUAUCAGUAGGCCUGAAGAAUCUGUGCCAAAGUCUAUUACUGGUUGUCCCUUGAUUUCUGUGAAUGACUUUGGAGGGGGUGCUGUCCUGGACAUCAGUGAUUUGGAGUCACAAUGUGACUUGGAGAUUGGAGUUUCUGGGGUUUACCAAGAACUUCAAGGAGCCUGACGAUGAUUCAGAGGCCAGUGUUCCCAAACCUCAGUGUCCUCAAAAGAUGGAGAAUGGUGUGUUCACGUCACAGAAGCAGCCUCAGAACCUGGACCCUGCCCUGAGUCCCUCUGCCCUUCAGCUCAUCUCCUUUGUCAGGAUGGGGAGGGGCCUUGGGGAUCUUUGUUUUUUUGUUCUGAGACAUUCUCCAAGUUGCCCAGGGUGGCUUUAAACUUGAUCCUUCUGCCUCAGCCUCCUGAGUAGGUGGAAUUAUAGGUGUGGGCCACCGUGCCCAGCCUCAGCCCCCUUCUUGUUAAAGACCUUCUUGUUAAAGACCUUUACAAUG
Molecule: non-coding RNA, 581 nt
Organism: Ictidomys tridecemlineatus (thirteen-lined ground squirrel)
Lineage: Eukaryota; Metazoa; Chordata; Mammalia; Rodentia; Sciuridae
Source: RefSeq, a predicted model, not a curated record